Long non-coding RNA from Cyprinus carpio carpio, 1495 nucleotides. Lineage: Eukaryota; Metazoa; Chordata; Actinopteri; Cypriniformes; Cyprinidae. The record is from Ensembl.
GCAUGGCCUCUAUUCUUGUGUCCGAAACAGACAAACAGCUGGUCAGACUCACGCCAUGGGGCUGUUCGAUCAACAUAAGUCUUCAGCGCUCUGACAGGGCAAAGACUCAGAUCUCCUGACCCUGCCUCUGCAGGGGGUAAAGCCUCCAAGACCACCUGUUGAAAGUGAAAAGGGUUUGAAGCGACCUUAGGGACAUAAUUAGGCCUCGGUCGCAGCAAUACUUUCACAGCGCCUGGUGCAAAAUCCAUGCACGAGGGCGAAACAGAAAGAGCCUGUAAAUCCCCAACUCUCUUGAGGGAGGAUAAAGCCACAAGAAGAACUGUCUUUAAAGUCAGGAUUUUAUCCGGUAUAGUUUCCAAGGGCUCAAACGGAUGCCCUGAUAAACCUUGCAACACAAUGGAUAAAUCCCAUGAAGGAACUCGCACAGGGCGGAAAGGCCUCAGCCGUCGCGCACCCUGUAUAAAACGAGAGACCAGCGGAUGACUGCCCACUGAAGCACCAUCUAUAUAUACGUGGUUAGCUGAAAUGGCUGCCACGUAAACUUUCAGAGUGGCUGGCAUUACUCCAUCAGAGAAACGGUCUUGAAGGAACUCCAGUACUGAAGCCACUGGGCAGUAAACCGGAUCCAUAUUACGAAUUCCACAUCAGGCCGUAAACAGUUUCCAUUUGAAAGCAUAUAAGCGUCUCGUAGAAGCUGCCCUAGAAUUCAUUAUAGUCUCGGUGGUUUCAACAGAAAGACCGGGACAUAUUAACUCACUCCGCUCAGAGGCCACGCCCACAGCUUCCAUAGAUCUGGCCUUGGGUGCCAAAUCAUUCCCUGUGCUUGCGAUAGUAAGUCCUAGGCCGCUAACAGACUGACCAGAUCCGCAAACCACGGCUGUGUGGGCCACCACGGAGCCACCAGCAGCAGCUGCUCCACUCUGUCCAGCCGUAUCCUGGAUAACACCGCUGGAAUUGGACGAAUCGGGGGAAAAGCAUACAAGCUGGUUCUGGGCCAAUUGUGAGCUAACGCAUCCAAGCCUAGGGGCGAUGGAGGGCAUAGGGAGAACCACAGUGGGCAAUGCGUAGUCAUGCUCGACGCAAAUAAGUCCACUCUUGCUUCUCCAAAUAUUUGCCAUAAAAGGCUCACCGUUUGGGGGUGCAACCUCCAUUCCCCCUGCUCCAGAGUCUGUCUGGAUAGCAAAUCCGCUCCGAAGUUCAAACGUCCGGGGACAUGAACCGCUCGGAUCGACAGAAAUCUGUUCUGAGACCAAAGAAGAAUAUUUCUCGCCAGCCUGCACAGGGGGCGAGAGCGUAAUCCCCCUUGAUGAUUCAGAUACGACAUAACCGCUAUGUUGUCUGACCUGAGUAGUACAUGACGGCUGAUCAGCAGAUUCGAGAAAUACUGGAGAGCUAGAAAAACCGCCAGUAAUUCCAACCUGUUUAUAUGCCAGCCGCGUUGUGUCGCCGUCCAUACUCCGUGAGCUGGGCGCCCUUGACAAACAGCUCCCCAACC